UCCAGUUCGAAGGGAGUUGCAUGGACUCUUCUGAUUGGCCAAAAGCAUUCUGGAAGGUUUUCACUGUUCAGUCAGACUGAAACACUGGUUCCGUUGAGUCUUGUUGGCUGAUGUCCUCCGUCAAUGUGGCUUUGUGAAAACGAGACUUGAUAAUCAAGGAUGUUAUCGUUGACUGAGUGAAGGCCUUCCUGAGAACCAGUGAUUUGAUGAUGACAAGAAGAAUGCUGGCGUCCAACAACAGAACAUACCCCAAAUGUUGGAUUUCAACUAACUAGUGAGGAACCUUCUCAGGUGGAUAAGGAGUAUGGAAGAGAGCAGACUACUAGGAGAAUCUAUCGACAGCCUACUCGAGUACCUGUUGGUCUUUUUGGACCCCUGAUCACUACAGAUGUUGAAUUGCUAUUAGUGAGGAACCUUCUUCAGGUGGAUGAGGAGUGUAUGGAAGAGAGCAGACUACUAGGAGAAUCUAUCGACUGCCUACUCGAGUACCUGUUGGUCUUUUCGGCCCCCUGAUCACUACAGAUGUUGAAUUGCUUUUAGUGAGGAUCCUACUAUAAAACUGCUUUAGAAAGCACACUAAGAGAAUCUACCGACUGCCCACUAAAAUUCACUACAUGUUAAAUUGUUACCAGUGAGGAAACCUUCCCGGGUGGCUGAGGAGCGUAUGGAAGAAAUCAGACUACUGUAAAUCUCCGGAGAGUGAAAGGGAAAUCUAUGGACUGCCCCCUCUCGAGCACCUCCUGGUCGUUUCGGCUUCCUUUCUAAGUGCUCACAACAAAAUCUCCAAGAAUUACUGUAUAUUGAACUAGCAGGCAACUGAGUGUUAAAAAAUAAUGCAAAAAUUUAUAU
Macrobrachium nipponense is the source of this 849-nucleotide long non-coding RNA. RefSeq lists it as uncharacterized. The transcript has 3 exons. The record is from RefSeq and is a predicted model, not a curated record. Lineage: Eukaryota; Metazoa; Arthropoda; Malacostraca; Decapoda; Palaemonidae.